RNAcentral lists this ribosomal RNA (468 nucleotides) under uncultured bacterium. Its description in RNAcentral is "partial 16S ribosomal RNA". It matches the Rfam family "Bacterial small subunit ribosomal RNA", at positions 28 to 507 of the family's 1533-position model. The record is from RNAcentral.
GACGAACGCUGGCGGCGUGCUUAACACAUGCAAGUCGAACGGAAAGUCCCUGCUUUUGUGCGGUGCUCGAGUUGCGACCUGGUGAGUAACACGUGAGUAACCUGCCCUUGACUUUGGGAUAUCUUCAUGAAACUUGGGCUAAUACCGGCUAGGAUCUCCUGCUGCAUGGUGGGGGUUGGAUAGUUUCGGCGGUUGGUGAUGGAAUCGCGUCGUAUCAGCUUGUUGGUUGGGUAGUGUCUUACCAUGGCUUUGACGGGUAGCAGGCCUGAGAGGGUGAGCGGCCAAAUUGGGACUGAGAUACGGCACAGACUCGUAUGGGAGGCAGCAGUGGAGAAUAUUGCACAAUGGGCGGAAGCCUGGUGCAGCAAAGCAGCGUGGGGGAUGAGGGGAAUCGGGUUGUAAAGCGAAGUCGCCUGUGACGAAGCGAGAGUGACGGUAAUGGGUAAAGAAGCUCCGGCUAACUACGUG